ACACAGACCUGGUAUUUGAAUUGGAGACUCAAAAACGGAGAGAUGUUACAGAGGAACUGAAAGAAUUGCGAAGGACCAACGCACUGCUACAGAGAGCACUUUGCUCCAAAGUGUUUGAGCUCGAGUCAAGACUCCUGGAGCAGUGGCCUGGCAGCAGCACACCUCUAUCGCAUCUGACUGCCACUUCAAGUGCCAUGUUGCCCGAAUCUCCAGAAAAUGAACACCUUGAAGCUGGU
Ixodes scapularis (black-legged tick) is the source of this 236-nucleotide long non-coding RNA. RefSeq lists it as uncharacterized. The record is from RefSeq and is a predicted model, not a curated record. The transcript is spliced from 3 exons. NCBI's taxonomy places the organism in Eukaryota, Metazoa, Arthropoda, Arachnida, Ixodida, Ixodidae.